RNAcentral lists this unclassified non-coding RNA (202 nucleotides) under Hevea brasiliensis (rubber tree). Lineage: Eukaryota; Viridiplantae; Streptophyta; Magnoliopsida; Malpighiales; Euphorbiaceae. The record is from RNAcentral.
CUUAGGCACAUAUGCAUCCUUUACCCUCAGCUGAUGAUACCCUAACUUGAGAUCAAUCUUAGAAAAUAUACCUGCUCCCUUCAAUUGAUCAAACAUAUCAUUAAUUUUGGGUAAUGGGUACUUAUUCUUCACAGUUACUUUAUUUAACUGUCGGUAAUCUAUAUACAGUCUCAAGGUCCCAUCCUUCUUCUUCACAAAUAGC